RNAcentral lists this unclassified non-coding RNA (302 nucleotides) under Cortinarius sp. RNAcentral's name for it is "partial contains 5.8S ribosomal RNA, internal transcribed spacer 2, and large subunit ribosomal RNA". The stretch from base 1 to 52 matches the Rfam family "5.8S ribosomal RNA", at positions 103 to 154 of the family's 154-position model. RNAcentral also lists the same sequence under 1 other name. Lineage: Eukaryota; Fungi; Basidiomycota; Agaricomycetes; Agaricales; Cortinariaceae. The record is from RNAcentral.
AACGCACCUUGCGCUCCUUGGUAUUCCGAGGAGCAUGCCUGUUUGAGUGUCAUUAAUAUAUCAACCUCUUCAGCUUUUUGCAUGUUGAGUGUUGGAUGUGGGGGUAUUUUUGCUGGACUCUAUACAAUCUGAGGUCAGCUCCCCUAAAAUGCAUUAGCGAAACAAUUUGUUUACCGCUCAUUGGUGUGAUAACUAUCUACGCUAUUGACGGUGAAGCAUGUUUAGCUUCUAACAGUCCAUUAACUUGGACAAUCUCUUAUUAAUGUGACCUCAAAUCAGGUAGGACUACCCGCUGAACUUAA